GACGAACGCUGGCGGCGUGCUUAACACAUGCAAGUCGAACGGAAAGGCUCCAGCUUGCUGGAGUACUCGAGUGGCGAUCGGGUGAGUAACACGUGGGUAAUCUGCCCUGCACUCUGGGAUAAGCCUGGGAAACUGGGUCUAAUACUGGAUAUGACCUUUCUCCUUAUGGGGUUUGGUGGAAAGUUUUUCGGUGUAGGAUGAGCCCGCGGCCUAUCAGCUUGUUGGUGGGGUGAUGGCCUACCAAGGCGACGACGGGUAGCCGGCCUGAGAGGGUGAUCGGCCACAUUGGGACUGAGAUACGGCCCAGACUCCUACGGGAGGCAGCAGUGGGGAAUAUUGCACAAUGGGCGGAAGCCUGAUGCAGCGACGCCGCGUGAGGGAUGACGGCCUUCGGGUUGUAAACCUCUUUCAGCAGGGACGAAGCGUAAGUGACGGUACCUGCAGAAGAAGCACCGGCUAACUAUGUG
RNAcentral lists this ribosomal RNA (467 nucleotides) under uncultured bacterium. Its description in RNAcentral is "partial 16S ribosomal RNA". It matches the Rfam family "Bacterial small subunit ribosomal RNA", at positions 28 to 507 of the family's 1533-position model. The record is from RNAcentral.